CUCUAUAAUUUACGAAGUGCGAGUAUUAUGAAUUUAUGCUUGUUGUUAAUCUCCCUUUUAAUUUUAUACAUUACUAUAUAAAAUAGACACACUCACUAGCUCACACACUAACCUAACAUUAUCCAAAUUCGGGCCCAAAAAAUAGACCCAAUUUGUUAAUUGGACCUUUACACUUUAGCGCGCACGCUGAAAGCUCCAUUGAAGCGGCUUCUGAGCAUUCUCAUCUCCAAUCUCCAUUGAAGCAAUUCCUGAGGAACACAAAAUGUCUGAUGUGCAUCUGAAGCUUGACCGAAGUACCAUAUAUUGGAGUAUGUGGUGGAAACUUAGAAAAUCUGUGGCAAGUGGUGCUAAACUGCUAACUGCUUAGAGUUUAAGCUGACUAAUAAGACUGCUGAUCUCUGGUGAGGUUGAUUCAAAGCUUGGAAGGCGUAGAUUUGAAUGACAUAGAAGAGGUUUGAAUCCAUGGCAAACAAGUAAUACUUCCUAUGUUCACUUUUAAUUGCAACUCUUCUUUCAAUUUAUUGCUUAACAUAAAAAGAUGAAUUAUGAGUAGGUGUCACUCGAUGAUGUGUUGAUGACUUGAUGUCUGCUUGAGCUUCCUGCUUUUAGUAUCAAUAGAGUUGAUUUUGGUUUAGAUUGUGGGUUUGUGGUCCAGCCAAUCUUGUGGAGCUGUAGAGGACAGGCUAUCCCAGGAAUAUUUAUAUUACAUGUCCAUUGAGUAAGUUAUAAGUAGCCUUCAAAACUGUAUUACUAAGUAAUAUCGCUUUCGAAAUUGCUGGCCUAUUUGGGUGGCUUACCUAUGGUUUAUCCGGAUUUGUUGACGAGUGUCUAAGGUUGUUGAUCUCUAUGUGAGAUUGUGAGGUGGGACUUGGGAGUCCUUAAUUGUUUAACGUAACAAUCAACAAUUGAUAAUACUAAGUAUACUUUUGCAUCUUCGAAAUUUUAGAACCAAUCAAAUAAGUAUUUAUGAUUUUUUUUAGUCAGAAGAAAAAGAGUUGCCCGAUGAAUCUAUGGGUUUCUUAUUUGAAAAGAGAUUGUUUAGUUAGAGGUAUAGGUGUCAAAAAUUGACUUGAUUGAUCCGAACAAUAUUCGAUUUAGAUUUCAAUUUAUAUAGAUACAAUAAUUUAGCAUGACUCAAAUUUGAAAUAAACCUAACCUCACUCGACUUUGCUGGACUUGACCUAAUUACUCGAAUUGACAUCUUUAGUUAGGGCAUUCAAUAGUUUUCCAACUCAUCAAUUUGCAAGAUUUAAUGUUUUUCUUUUUACUCUGUUUAUUUUAUUUUAAAAAGUAAAUACAAUGUAAAGAUUAGGAGCAUCUUCUUAGAAAAUUGUGCCCUAAUCUAUGCAAGUAUGCAGGAGUAAAAAAAAAAAAAAAAAAAAAAAAAGAAAAUUUAUUAUUUAUAAAAGGAUUGUUGUCCUUAUGGGUCGGAGUAGAAUAGCUGAAAGAGGCCAUAUUAUUAAGUAUGCCCCCAAGAAAUGUGAUUUUUGUAGAGUGAAGAUUGAAUGAAUGUUUUUUUAAGGAAGUCAUAUGGGAUAUGGCUAUAGGAUUUAUUAGUAACUAAAAAAUCUAAGUGCAUGAAACAAGACAAUUGAACCAUCGAUCUCCUAAAUUGUCUAGUGGUCCUAAUUUUGAGAAUUGUUGAUUUUAAUAUGGGACAAAGUGGUCCCACUUGAGUAGUUAGUGCAUAGCUAAAUUAUAUCCAAAAUACAGUAUAUCCUUUAAAACUUAAUAGAGAACUAAUCAGAACAAAAAUCUUUAUCUAGAUCUCAAAAAAAAAAAAAAUCUUUCUCUUGAUAAUUUUCACAAUAUUGAUGGGUUAAAGGUACAUGUAUCAAUUUUAAUAUAAUUAAGAAAGAUACACAAAAUUAGACCCCUUUUUUGCUCCCUUUAUUGAUAGACAAUUUCAUUGCCUGCGUUCGUUGGUUUAAAAAAAAAAAAAAAGAAGAAAUGCUUUUUCGUAAACUAUAAAGUAAUUGUAUCAAUUGUACAAUUUUUUUUUUUCUCUAAUUUUAAAUUUUUAUAACCUUUUGUUUUCGUUGAUUUAAUUAAUUUUAUCAAAUUCAUUUCCAUUUUGACAAUUUGCUCUAUUACUAUACCUUACACCUUAUGGAACCUAUAGAUAUUAGUCUUCUAUUUUUGACUUAGUAAUAAAGUCUAACGAUAUAGGUCUUCUAUUUUUGACAUUGCAUUGAUUGUAAUGUACUGCUGUAGGAUAUUUGCAGACACAUGAAAAACAAACAAUUUAAACAUAUAAAUUUAAAAAUUAAAACAAUUGAGUUCAAAUCACCUUCAA
This is a long non-coding RNA of Chenopodium quinoa (quinoa), 2296 nucleotides long. RefSeq lists it as uncharacterized. The transcript is spliced from 3 exons. Lineage: Eukaryota; Viridiplantae; Streptophyta; Magnoliopsida; Caryophyllales; Amaranthaceae. The record is from RefSeq and is a predicted model, not a curated record.